RNAcentral lists this ribosomal RNA (752 nucleotides) under uncultured beta proteobacterium. RNAcentral's name for it is "bacterial SSU rRNA". It matches the Rfam family "Bacterial small subunit ribosomal RNA", at positions 30 to 771 of the family's 1533-position model. The record is from RNAcentral. Lineage: Bacteria; Pseudomonadati; Pseudomonadota; Betaproteobacteria.
UGAACGCUGGCGGCAUGCCUUACACAUGCAAGUCGAACGGCAGCACGGGAGCAAUCCUGGUGGCGAGUGGCGAACGGGUGAGUAAUACAUCGGAACGUGCCCAGUUGUGGGGGAUAGCCCGGCGAAAGUUCCGGAUUAAUACCGCAUACGACCUACGAGCGAUGAAAGCGGGGGAUCGCAAGACCUCGCGCUAUUGGAGCGGCCGAUGUCGGAUUAGCUAGUUGGUGGGGUAAAAGCCUACCAAGGCUACGAUCCGUAGCUGGUCUGAGAGGACGACCAGCCACACUGGGACUGAGACACGGCCCAGACUCCUACGGGAGGCAGCAGUGGGGAAUUUUGGACAAUGGGCGCAAGCCUGAUCCAGCCAUGCCGCGUGCGGGAAGAAGGCCUUCGGGUUGUAAACCGCUUUUGUCAGGGAAGAAACGGUUUGGGCUAAUACCCCGAACUAAUGACGGUACCUGAAGAAUAAGCACCGGCUAACUACGUGCCAGCAGCCGCGGUAAUACGUAGGGUGCAAGCGUUAAUCGGAAUUACUGGGCGUAAAGCGUGCGCAGGCGGACUUUGCAAGACAGAUGUGAAAUCCCCGGGCUCAACCUGGGAACUGCAUUUGUGACUGCAAGGCUGGAGUGCGGCAGAGGGGGAUGGAAUUCCGCGUGUAGCAGUGAAAUGCGUAGAUAUGCGGAGGAACACCGAUGGCGAAGGCAAUCCCCUGGGCCUGCACUGACGCUCAUGCACGAAAGCGUGGGGAGCAA